Molecule: ribosomal RNA, 436 nt
Filed under: Microbacterium sp. R-45772
Lineage: Bacteria; Bacillati; Actinomycetota; Actinomycetes; Micrococcales; Microbacteriaceae
Description: bacterial SSU rRNA
Rfam family: Bacterial small subunit ribosomal RNA
Source: RNAcentral
UCAGGAUGAACGCUGGCGGCGUGCUUAACACAUGCAAGUCGAACGGUGAACACGGAGCUUGCUCUGUGGGAUCAGUGGCGAACGGGUGAGUAACACGUGAGCAACCUGCCCCUGACUCUGGGAUAAGCGCUGGAAACGGCGUCUAAUACUGGAUACGAGUAGCGACCGCAUGGUCAGUUACUGGAAAGAUUUAUUGGUUGGGGAUGGGCUCGCGGCCUAUCAGCUUGUUGGUGAGGUAAUGGCUCACCAAGGCGUCGACGGGUAGCCGGCCUGAGAGGGUGACCGGCCACACUGGGACUGAGACACGGCCCAGACUCCUACGGGAGGCAGCAGUGGGGAAUAUUGCACAAUGGGCGCAAGCCUGAUGCAGCAACGCCGCGUGAGGGAUGACGGCCUUCGGGUUGUAAACCUCUUUUAGCAGGGAAGAAGCGAAAGU